Molecule: long non-coding RNA, 801 nt
Organism: Sinocyclocheilus anshuiensis
Lineage: Eukaryota; Metazoa; Chordata; Actinopteri; Cypriniformes; Cyprinidae
Source: Ensembl
UCGGGAUUCCCUAUUGUCACCGAUCCCGGAAGUGCCCGAGUCGCCGGUUUCCGCCGGAAAAGGUUCCGUCUGGACCAGACGGGUCUGUCUCUUUUUCGGUCUCUUUCGGUAUCGUUCAACUGAUCCAGUACAGAACUGGACCGGAACCGAAGCUGUACGAUAAACUCCUGUCCGGUUUUGUCAGUACUGCGUCUCGAUGCAGAUGCUCCAGGUGAAAUGAAUAAGGCACCUCAGCCUCUGUCAGGACCCCCCUCCGCCCCGCUUCCCGCGCCCACCCCGGGCCUGUCCCAGCCCAGUUUUUCUCCUGUUCCGCCAAUUGUGUUCGGCACCCCUCCGCCACAGAUGAACCCCGCCGCCCAACCCCGACAGGUACGGCACCCCAGACACGCAUCACUUCCUGUGGGCCUGCUGGGUCAUUGGCCCAUUCGUUUUCCAGCCAAGCCAAACCAAACCAGCCAGCCCGUGUUACAUUUAAUAUACAUUUUAAAGGUAUUUAGGUAUUAAAGACUUAAGCAUCAGAAAAACACUAAGGUCUUCCAUAAAGCAGAGAUUCCCAAAAUCUGCGAGCUAAAAUAUUUACUUGAAGUCUCCCUGAGAUUUUAACUUAUUUCAAUAAAUAAGCACAUUCAUAUGGUCACAGUUCUCAGAAUCAAUGGUUACAUGGCAUGCAGGUAAACAAAUACAAUAUUUAAUCUUUUGCUUUAUCUUGCUUUUUUUUAAUUAUUUUAAUUGUAUGAUUGUUGCCAUAAAACACUUCCAAAGAUAGAAUCAAAUCAGUCUUGAAUUUUAAUACAAAAUUAG